GUUGUAUGGUUAAGUGACUAAGCGUACAUGGUGGAUGCCUUGGCAGUCAGAGGCGAUGAAGGACGUACUAACCUGCGAUAAGCCGUGAGCAGUCGGUAAGAGACAUUACGACUCACGGAUUUCCGAAUGGGGAAACCCACUUAGCAUAAGCUAGGUAUCGCUACGUGAAUACAUAGCGUAGCGAGGCGAACCGGGAGAACUGAAACAUCUAAGUACCCCGAGGAAAAGAAAUCAACCGAGAUUCCCUCAGUAGCGGCGAGCGAACGGGGAUUAGCCCUUAAGCAUCUUGGAAGUUAGUGGAACGGUCCUGGAAAGGCCGGCGAUACAGGGUGAUAGCCCCGUACACGAAAACAACCUUGAUGUGAAAUCGAGUAGGGCGGGACACGUGACAUCCUGUCUGAAUAUGGGGGGACCAUCCUCCAAGGCUAAAUACUCCUGACUGACCGAUAGUGAACCAGUACCGUGAGGGAAAGGCGAAAAGAACCCCUGUGAGGGGAGUGAAAUAGAACCUGAAACCGUGUACGUACAAGCAGUGGGAGCCCUUCGGGGUGACUGCGUACCUUUUGUAUAAUGGGUCAGCGACUUACAUUUUGUAGCGAGGUUAACCGUAUAGGGGAGCCGUAGGGAAACCGAGUCUUAACUGGGCGUCUAGUUGCAAGGUGUAGACCCGAAACCGGGUGAUCUAGCCAUGGGCAGGUUGAAGGUUGAGUAACAUCAACUGGAGGACCGAACCCACUAACGUUGCAAAGUUAGGGGAUGACCUGUGGCUGGGGGUGAAAGGCCAAUCAAACUCGGAGAUAGCUGGUUCUCCCCGAAAGCUAUUUAGGUAGCGCCUCGGACGAAUACUACUGGGGGUAGAGCACUGUUUGGGCUAGGGGGUCAUCCCGACUUACCAACCCCAUGCAAACUCCGAAUACCAGUAAGUAAUAUCCGGGAGACACACGGCGGGUGCUAACGUCCGUCGUGAAGAGGGAAACAACCCAGACCGCCGGCUAAGGUCCCAAAGUUCUGGUUAAGUGGGAAACGAUGUGGGAAGGCUCAGACAGCUAGGAUGUUGGCUUAGAAGCAGCCAUCAUUUAAAGAAAGCGUAAUAGCUCACUAGUCGAGUCGGCCUGCGCGGAAGAUGUAACGGGGCUCAAACCAGGCACCGAAGCCGCGGAUUCACGCUAAGCGUGAGUGGUAGGGGAGCGUUCUGUAAGUCUGCGAAGGUGUAUCGAGAGGUAUGCUGGAGAUAUCAGAAGUGCGAAUGCUGACGUAAGUAACGAUAAAGGGGGUGAAAAGCCUCCUCGCCGGAAGACCAAGGGUUCCUGUCCAACGUUAAUCGGGGCAGGGUGAGUCGACCCCUAAGGCGAGGCCGAAAGGCGUAGUCGAUGGGAAGCAGGUUAAUAUUCCUGCACGACUUGUAAUUGCGAUGGGGGGACGGAGAAGGCUAGGUGGGCCAGGCGACGGUUGUCCUGGUGAAAGUGCGUAGGUGGUGUUUCUAGGCAAAUCCGGAGACACAACACUGAGACACGAGACGAACACACUACGGUGUGGAAGCCAUUGAUGCCCUGCUUCCAGGAAAAGCCUCUAAGCUUCAGAUUACAAGUCAUCGUACCCCAAACCGACACAGGUGGUCGGGUAGAGAAUACCAAGGCGCUUGAGAGAACUCGGGUGAAGGAACUAGGCAAAAUAGAACCGUAACUUCGGGAGAAGGUUCGCUCUUGACAGUGAAGUCCCUUGCGGAUGGAGCAGUUGGGAGUCGCAGUGACCAGAUGGCUGGGACUGUUUAUCAAAAACACAGCACUCUGCAAACACGAAAGUGGACGUAUAGGGUGUGACACCUGCCCGGUGCCGGAAGGUUAAUUGAUGGGGUUAGCGCAAGCGAAGCUCUUGAUCGAAGCCCCGGUAAACGGCGGCCGUAACUAUAACGGUCCUAAGGUAGCGAAAUUCCUUGUCGGGUAAGUUCCGACCUGCACGAAUGGUGUAACCAUGGCCAUGCUGUCUCCACCCGAGACUCAGUGAAAUCGAAUUCGCCGUGAAGAUGCGGUGUACCCGCGGCUAGACGGAAAGACCCCGUGAACCUUUACUACAGCUUGGCACUGAACAUUGAACCUACAUGUGUAGGAUAGGUGGGAGGCUUUGAAGGCGUGACGCCAGUUGCGCUGGAGCCGUCCUUGAAAUACCACCCUUGUAUGUUUGAUGUUCUAACGCAGGCCCGUGAAUCCGGGUCGCGGACAGUGCCUGGUGGGUAGUUUGACUGGGGCGGUCUCCUCCCAAAGAGUAACGGAGGAGCACGAAGGUUGGCUAAUCCUGGUCGGACAUCAGGAGGUUAGUGCAAUGGCAUAAGCCAGCUUAACUGCGAGACGGACAGGUCGAGCAGGUACGAAAGUAGGUCAUAGUGAUCCGGUGGUUCUGAAUGGAAGGGCCAUCGCUCAACGGAUAAAAGGUACUCCGGGGAUAACAGGCUGAUACCGCCCAAGAGUUCAUAUCGACGGCGGUGUUUGGCACCUCGAUGUCGGCUCAUCACAUCCUGGGGCUGAAGUCGGUCCCAAGGGUAUGGCUGUUCGCCAUUUAAAGUGGUACGCGAGCUGGGUUCAGAACGUCGUGAGACAGUUCGGUCCCUAUCUGCCGUGGGCGUUGGAUGAUUGAAGGGAGUUGCUCCUAGUACGAGAGGACCGGAGUGAACGAACCUCUGGUGUUCGGGUUGUCACGCCAGUGGCACUGCCCGGUAGCUAAGUUCGGAAUCGAUAACCGCUGAAAGCAUCUAAGCGGGAAGCGAGCCCUGAGAUGAGUCAUCCCUGACCCCUUGAGGGUCCUAAAGGGCCGUUGGAGACCACAACGUUGAUAGGUGGGGUGUGUAAGCGCGGCGACGUGUUGAGCUAACCCAUACUAAUUACCCGUGAGGCUUAACCAUACAACACCCAAGAAGUGUU
Molecule: ribosomal RNA, 2915 nt
Filed under: Aeromonas hydrophila
Lineage: Bacteria; Pseudomonadati; Pseudomonadota; Gammaproteobacteria; Aeromonadales; Aeromonadaceae
Also listed under: 1 other name
Description: 23S ribosomal RNA
Rfam family: Bacterial large subunit ribosomal RNA
Source: RNAcentral